Molecule: long non-coding RNA, 1337 nt
Filed under: Aquila chrysaetos chrysaetos
Lineage: Eukaryota; Metazoa; Chordata; Aves; Accipitriformes; Accipitridae
Description: lncRNA (ENSACCG00020014221.1)
Source: RNAcentral
CAGCAAUAGUUGAAUUUUACUGAAUGUUUCACAUCCUUUGGUACCUGGUGUGCUGGUGACUUUUCCUCUUGUUCCUUAAGAGCCUCGGUUCUCGUAGCUGUAGCAAAGAGUGUUUGUCUUUGUAAGUGCAUUUACUGCCUUGUGCUUCCCAGCAAGCUUGUAGUCGUUCAUCAGAAUUCUCUACUCAUACUCCGCUGGCACAGCAAACUGGGGUUUCUGCUUCUCCAAAAGCCUGGUGAGAUAGUCUCCAGAACGGUGUCAGUGAUGUUCCCUGAGCCAAAGCGACACCGCAUCCGAGUGAGAGAGAUCCUAGAGCAGCAGAGAACCAGCCCGUAACCUGGAGGAUCUGCUUGGCCUUUGCCUAAAUCAGCCUCCUCUGGGCACCAGUUCUUCUUGGCCCUCGUUCACUAGGAUCACGGGGAUGCCAGGGCUUUGGAUUCGUUACAGGAAGCCCAAGUAACUGUGGGAAAUUCUCUGCCCCAAGAUGCUGAAACGGGGACCUCGUUUUGGUGUUACAAGUUAGGGGAAUGGGAUUUGCAGAUGGCUGGAGUACAAGGAAGGGUGUCAACAGCAUAUGAAAAUGUCCUGGCUGUUCAAAAGACUAGAAUAAAGAGCAUAAAAUAAAAAAAUAAUAAAAAAAAAAGUACAAAAUAACAACUCUUGUCUAAUACUUGAAGGGUUCAGUCACAUCCGCAGAUGCCGGUUGUGCUCCAGCUGAGUUAGGUGUUGGUGCUCCCUCUCCCCUUCUUGACCGCGGCAGCUGGCGAGGCCGUGCAGGUACGCGUUGCGGUUUCCAUUGCCGUUUCUGUCGUGAACCCCGAGCAGCACGGCCUGGCUCUGCUCCGCCUGUCAGUUCCGAGCAUCCGCCUGUGCCAGCAGAGCUGGCGCUGACUCUGUUUUAGGUACCAGAACAGGUUGAAUGGACACCUCUGGACCGAGGUGAAGCGCUGGGCUCAGGGGAUCCCUCACGAUUUACCGAUGGCGGUUUCCCUGCGGUUUCCACGUUUCCCAGCUGAAGUAAGGUAACCGGCGCUCCCGAAAAUGCUGUUUUUGCUGGAGGAUGAAGCCUGAGGUUGGAAGAGCAUGAGGAAGGCAUCCUUCUUAAGCCCCUCGCUCCGUCUUUACCUUUUGGCAGGCAGAGAACGACCUCUGAACUCGUAGGACCCUGUACGAGCCCGUGUGUCCCUCGGCUCCGGUCGGAGAGGGGGCCCUCGGGCCGGCGGGGCCUCUUCCCCACGGCAGGAGCCCGCCUCGAUGCCCACGAUGGGCGGCGGGUGGGUCCCCAGCCCCGAGGGACCCUGCCUGCAAUUCCCCUGCCUGCAAUUCCCCUGCCUGCU